AAACAUUCAUGAAGCCCAUUGAUGGAUUAUAUAAAUUAAUCAUUUUGUAAGCGAUAUGCUCUCUUUCAUUUUUUUCUUCUUUUUGGCAACCAUUACCCGAUAGUUGGGAUAAUAAAUGUUACACGAUUUUGUAAAUUAUUCCACAUCAAUAAGCAAUAUAGCAUAUAUAUGUUACUUUUUGCAUUAAAGACUGAUUUAGUGCACGAAGCAAUAUUAUGUAUAGGUAGGUACUAUAUGUAGUAGGAAGUUAUUGUUGGCUCCAAGAGGGAUCCCUCAUAUUUCAACCACGCUCUGAUUCCAUAUACCAAAAGGAAAGAAGUAUGUUUUUCCCUAAUAAAUCAAAAUUAUUCCCUCUAUGAUUAUAUAGGUAUGUAUUAUUAUGUACAUAGCACAAGUUGAGAUUUUUCUGCUAGAUUCCACACGUAGUAUAUGAUUUUUGGACCUCUGCUAAAUGCCAAAGUCGCUCGCACUAUGUUUAUUCCAUAUAUAUUCGCACAAGACCGGGUAAUAAUUCUCCUCAAUAUUUCUCUUUUAGCCUUUGGAAUCAUUGCGGAAACAGCAAACCCCUUUUCCUCAUUCAAAAAUUUAUUGAACAAGAAGUUAUAUGAAGAGGGAGAAAAAGCACCCAUUUAUGAAUUGAUUUGUAUGCAUUUCAUCCUCUUUUAAGCUUUUUUUUUUUGGAUCGCUUGAGGCGCGCAAAAAUUCAAAAUGCUCUGUGCCUUCAAAUAAAUGGCUCUAUCGCAUCCAAAUGUGCGCGCCUUUUAUCGCCGACCAUUUUCUAUUUGCUUGAUUUAUCGUCCAAACAGUGAAAAUGUACAUGGUGGUAGUUCUCCUUUUCUCUCUCUGUAUCGAUUACAGAAAAUGCAUUCGCAGGCAUUAUAAACUUUAUGAUUGCACAUUUUGUUGUUUAUGUGACUUUGGCGGCACUCUUGCAUUGAGAUUAUAGCACACAUAACGCAUAUAACACAUCAUACAAGCACAGAAAUCUAUACCUUUUUGUGAAUAUAUUGCAAAGGAAAAAGUAAUAUACCUGUGUGGUGAAAUUAAAAGAAUUAAUUGAAAAACUCCCACCCUCAAAGAACUUUUUUUUCAUUUUUUUUUUUCUAUAUAGAAUUAAUAUUUUUUUCAAUUGUUUUGUUCCAAAUUACCAUUUUAUCGCAUUCAAUGAGAAAUUGUUUGCAAAUUAGAACGUUCUCACUUUCGCAAUUUACUGAAGAGAUUCAUUCAUUUAAUCCUUUACACACUCCAUACACCGUUAAUAAAGCAAAAAAAUUUGGCUCAAAAAAGGUUCUUUUACAUUGAUUGCAACCUAUUACAUAGUUUUUCUUUUUGUAAAGAAGAUGCUAUAUAAAGUUAAGAAAAUACGAGCACAACCUUCAUGAUGGAAAAUUGUGUAGUUUCAAUGUCAAAGUCAAUUAAAAGUGUGUUUGCAAAUUCCAAUCGUUCACGGAUAAAACAAUGAGAAGCAUUUUCGAAAACUUCAUACAUAGCAAAUACACAUAAAUAUGGUAUUUAAUUUAAAACUGUGAGCACACCCACAUCUUUUGCCUCAAGUAUGUAUUUUUUUAUCAUCGGCACAUGUUUCUCGCGUUUUUUCCUCAUUUUUAAUUUAUUUGCAACCAUAUCGACUCUUCCAGCUACAUAAGCGCACGGUGACCUCACGUGAAUGACUACGAUGAGAACAGAUGGAGUUUGUCAUUUUGGUGUAAAUUAAAUAAUUCGUCAUGGUUUCUUGCAUUCAUGGAUCGCGCUUUUUUUCUCACCACAAACAAUUAAUUCUUUCAUUCUUUACCGCUACGUUUUUCCAUUCUUUCUUGCUCUCCUUUAUUUUCUCCUUCAAGAAGAAAUGGCAGUAUUAUAUACAUUUCAUCAUGCAGAAAAUGUGUGUGUAGGGAUAAAAAAAAAUAUGAGAUAAAAUUAAAUGUUUUAGAGGAGAAGUUUAUUGCAUUGCAAACAGAUGAGAUAAUUUUCUGCUGGAUGUUUUUGAGUUAAAUGUGAGAUGUGUAACACCCAGUGCGUCAUUAAAAGUAAAUAAAUUUAAUUGAAAGAUGAAAAAUGAUAAAUUCGCGUUGACGCUUUUUUGUCUCUGGCAAGAAAGGAGUUAAUUUUUUUUAACAAUAUUUUGGUUGAAAAGUACAAGUAAUUGUAUUAUCCAAAGUAAUGUAAAAUACACAAAAUAUAUAAAAAAUUAUUCCAUUAAAAAAUGUCACAAAAUACAUUAAAUUGUUUUUAAAUUACAUUAAGUGAUUGUUUUGCAAUAUCAUUUUACGUCAUAGUGGGGGGGGGGGGAAUUUAAUUGGCAGGAAAAGCGUUACUGUACGCUAGAAAAAAAUUAUGAAACUCAAAAGAGCAGAUAGAAUUGUGCCAGUGUAAUUGAAUAAAUGUUCCACUUUGUGCAAUUAUAUUGGGGAAUUGUGGACACUCGCGUGAAUGGGAAUUAAUGAAAGGCAGAGAACAGCAGUGUUCGUAAAUCAAUUGAUUGGGAGGUUCGUGGGAUGCCCUUAAUUCAAUAUUGUUUGUCACACGUCUCAUCAAGUGUUAUUGGCAACCAAUUGGAAAAUUUAUGGGGGAAGAAGCAACAAAAAAAAUAUUAUGUAUGUACUGUACAUAUGUGAUGAUGGUAUAUUCUUUCACUCUUGAAUUUCAUUAUAAUUAUAUUAUUAAAAUGAAAUUGUAUUGAAUCCUUACAAGGCACUUUUCAUUUUUUAAUUAAAGAAAUUCCCAAAAAAGGAGAUUUAAUUUUAGUAUAACAGCUUGUAUAGUUUAAAAUACGAGUGAAUGAAUAUAUAUAGAAAAUCAGCGGUGAGAAUCUUUUAAGACGAUUAAAUGAUCAUACCCCAGCCAAGUUAAGACUUUUUUUUCGAGCAAAAGAAGAAAAAUCCAUUGAAUGUUAAUUGGCAAUAAAUUGAGCGGUGUCUCGAUGGAGUUAGAAAAGCCGCGCAGAGGUACUAAAGCGAAGAAUUGUGAGUUAAUUGCUUCGAAUUUAAGUCGCUUUAUGAAUCCCCAAAUGAUGACCAAAGAAGAGAGAUUAACAAAAAAAAAUCACACAUCUUGAAAAUUUUUUAUGUUAAAAAAAAGCGACAACCAAUAUUUUUUUUAUUUGCAAAUUAUGUCUUUCGAUGUCAACUUAACAUUGCAAACUAAUUUAAUUUUAUAGGACACAAAAUACCUAUGAAAAGUCACUCGUCAUUUAAACCAAUUUUCCUUGCAUAAGAUAGACUUCACGGGUAUGUAGAAAGAUUUUUCAAAGCUCAUCCCACCAACCCCCUUCCCCCUGCGCCCCCUUAAAAGGCUAAGAGAGGCGUGCGAUUGACAGUGAUUUAUUCCAACCACACUCUCUUGAACGAAAUAAUUGAUUGUGCGCAGGGAAUUAAGUCGGGAGCUUUUCCAAAGCUUCACGAGAAAAACACCCCGUCAAUCUUCCAAGUUUUUUUUUAUUCUCCGCUACUAACUCUCUUUUCCCACUGAUGGCAGCAAUUGCAUUGGAUUUCGACAUAUUGGCGUGAGGAGCGUCUCACUUCUCGUAAUCCAUUUAUACGUUGCACAUCGCGUACGCAUUGUCAUUGCAAAAAGGGCGGCUAAUUAAUCGAAUAUUAAUAAUUGUAUUGAAUUGUUAAAAUUUACAGAAUAUUUUUAAAAAAUUUAGGUCCUAUUUUCAAGGAUUCUUGGUUGGAGAAUAGGACCAAUUGUUUAUUAAAGUCUGUGAAAUACGAACCAGAAAAAUUUUAUUCAAAAGUCAUUAAAUCUUCUACCUAAAUUCCAAUAUUUAUCCGCCCCUCAUAGCGUGUGAAAAAGCGUAUAAACCAAUAUAUUUCAAUCAAGAGACACCUCGGGAUUAUUCUACAAAACACAUUUGCCCCCUAGCCUAUCUAAAGAACUGUAUAUUCUUUGUGAAUGCCAAUUGGCGAAGUUUUGCGGAAAAUGUUAAUUUUUUUUGAGACAGAAAAAAAGUGAACCCUUAUUGCGACGCCCAAUUACGCAUUCUCCAAAAUGGAGAAGGGCCAAUUUUUUUCUCCGUGUGUAAGAAAAAAGAAAACUUUUCUUUGGACUUCACGUGAUAGCGUGUGAUUGAAAUUAAUUUGUCACGGCAAUUCAAGAAAAAAUUGGUCAAUAUACCGUGGGAUUAAUUUGUUUUUGCGGUUAAUUCUCUGACUAGAGAUGGUCAGUUUUUUAUUUGUCUUCUUUGCGACAUCACUAUACCUAUAAUUUGACGAUGUUAUUUUUGAGUUUGCUAAUUCAAUGACAAAUGCUAAUUGGUUUCUCAUUAACUCUCCAUAUAAUGAAAUUAAAUCAAAAAUUGAAUUUUACAAACAAGCUUCAGCUUUGUUUUUCUUCUUCUAUAUGUAGUGAAUUUGACGGUGAUUGUUUUCCUAAUUUUAGAAAAUUUACAAAUUUGAUUUUGAGGCGGGAGAGAGGGUUAUUUUUGCCUGCCAAAAGCGAUUUAAUCAAAAAUAUUUUAUUUAUACGCAAAAUCUCACUGGUCAAGGUUGUUCUUCUUCAAGAUGUGCGAGGGGAUGAAGUCCGCACCACGAAGGAUAAAUGGGAAUUUUCACCUUUUCCACGCAUACACAGCAGAGUGUAUGUUUGUGCCAGAAAAACACCACGAAAUGUAAACAAACAUAGUGUUUAUGGUGUAAAUAAAAAUAGACGCUCUACUGCUGAAAAUGAAGUCAAUUCUUCAGGAGAAAUUCCAUCCAAUUUCGUCUAGCGAAUUUCUGUGACAAUUAUGCCUCCUGUGUAGAAUCUUGAUGGAAAUAGCUUCCAUUAUAUUAUAAAAGUGGUUUUUCCCAUAUUAUACAUAAAUACAUAUGUAUGUGCUUCUCAUAAUAGUAUAUAACAAUUGAUUGAGUGCUACAAACAAGAUUUCCCAGAGGAAGUUCUUUGAGGUUUUUCAUUCUGCGACAAGAAAUUAAGGGGUGAGUGAUUAAAGUAUUUUUAGUACAAUAAAUAUUUUAGCUUAAUGGUAUAUCAAAAAUUUUUAGAUGGAAUGCUAGAAAUUUCUUGGUACGAUUGGAAAAUAUUAUUCAAUGUUACUAAUGAGUUCUUAAGUGGUGUUGAUGGGAAUGUAAACAAGAAUUUAUCAUUGAUUAUUUUUUUCCAUUUCAACCGAUUAAGUUCGGGCCUUCAUGACGACACGCAAUUUCCAACAUAUUUCUAUUUCUCUGCACUUUGCACUUGCUGGAGAGAAACUGAGCUGAAUAAUAUAGGCUAAAAUUAAUGAGGAACCUUCACAUUUGGGUGGCCCAAAUUCCUUCCAAGAAAAAUUACAUGUAAUCUCCGAGAGUGAUGACGGAUAAAUUUUGUCGUCGUGCAACAUCGGAAGCAUACCCCAAAGCCAGACACAUAUCCCAUGUAGACUAAUUUAUUAUUUUCUGAUGAUGCCGAUAAACGCGUGGAAUUACAUUUUUAAUCGGUUUAUCGUGUCGCCCUCCAUAUAUUACCAUUUUUAGCAUCUCUUUAGUGUUGAGAUAAAUCAUGAGAUAGAGGCAAAACAAUGACAGUUUAAUCAGUAGGUAUUAUGCAGUGUAUGAUUUUUACCAAAGAUUCCAUCAGCAUACAAAUUCGCAUCGUCUUGAUGUAGUUUGUUUUCUAUCUUUGCUUCUUCUUUUAAUCAACAGUCAUCGCAUAAAUUUGAUUGCAUUUUUAUUAAUACAGAUUUUGGGGUUUCAGAUAAAUGGAAAUUGUGAUGCACAUGCAAGGAAUAUCAAUGAGAUUAAAUGGACUGAAUUGAUGAUGAUUAUUUUGUGUGAACCAAUAGACAUUUUGGCAGAAAAUCAUUGCUUGUGGAUUUUUCAUUAAUGGGAAAAGCUCGGGAAAAACACUAUAGAAUGAUAAAGUAAAACAAGUAUACGCUAGAAAAUAACAAAUCAUAAG
Lutzomyia longipalpis is the source of this 5874-nucleotide long non-coding RNA. RefSeq lists it as uncharacterized. The record is from RefSeq and is a predicted model, not a curated record. NCBI's taxonomy places the organism in Eukaryota, Metazoa, Arthropoda, Insecta, Diptera, Psychodidae. The transcript has 2 exons.